This 488-nucleotide long non-coding RNA is filed under the name Apteryx rowi (Okarito brown kiwi). RNAcentral's name for it is "lncRNA (ENSARWG00000002799.1)". Lineage: Eukaryota; Metazoa; Chordata; Aves; Apterygiformes; Apterygidae. The record is from RNAcentral.
UUUUCAUUCCUUGUGGCACAGCAUGUGACACUUAUGCUUUUACCAAAACUCCUGGGGGAGUGUGUGUGGGGAGGGGAGGAGACAGAGAAAAGGGACGCCAUGAAAUGAGCUUGUCUCAGUCUGCCUGCAUUUUUGUUCAGGAUGAGCAAGAGUGUUCCUUACGAGUCCAGUCCCUCUGUCUGAUAUAUACCUAGGACCAUUGGAAGAAGGGAAAAAAAAAACUUUCCAAGACCAAGGACCAUUGGGGAAAAAAAUCAUCACAAGACCACCAGACUGGAGUUUCCCUCUGCACGAAGGCAACCCCUCCAUUCCACAGAGCUAGCCACUUCUUUUAAAAACAUGCCACAAAUCAGGGUUUCCCAGGAAAUGCUCUAAAGAUGUCCUGACUCCAGAACCAAUCUGUACAAGUUAUGAAGUAGAAGCACUGGUACGUACAAUUAGAGGCAAUUAUUGUGGUCAGUAACAGUUGUGAAAUGUUACCAGUGAAG